GUGGAAAUACCCAUACUAUUGAUGGUUGUGCGACAUUUUUUCGAAGAGAUAGGUUUUCACAUGUCAAGAAAUACGAGGUUGAGUUUAAUAAAGCUGCUCAGUCCUUGACUGAAGCUGUUGUUCCAAGUGCUCAGAGGAAAACUGCUUUAAAUCGUUUGGUCAAGGAUAAUGUUGCGUUGAUAGUGGUUUUGGAAGCAAAAUUCAGUAACCAAGGUGCAGAUAAUCUGGGGAAACGGCAACUUCUUUGUGUUGCAAAUACACAUGUGAAUGUCCAUCAAGAUUUAAAGGACGUCAAGCUUUGGCAGGUUCUUACUCUCUUGAAAGGAUUGGAGAAAAUAGCUGCCAG
Molecule: unclassified non-coding RNA, 346 nt
Filed under: Hevea brasiliensis (rubber tree)
Lineage: Eukaryota; Viridiplantae; Streptophyta; Magnoliopsida; Malpighiales; Euphorbiaceae
Source: RNAcentral